AACUUGCUUCCUGAGCUGACGACAGCCGCAGAAACCAGGCCGCUGCAACUGUUUAUUAAAAACAUAGCACUCUGCAAACACGAAAGUGGACGUAUAGGGUGUGAUGCCUGCCCGGUGCUGGAAGGUUAAUUGAUGGGGUUAGCGUAAGCGAAGCUCUUGAUCGAAGCCCCAGUAAACGGCGGCCGUAACUAUAACGGUCCUAAGGUAGCGAAAUUCCUUGUCGGGUAAGUUCCGACCUGCACGAAUGGCAUAAUGAUGGCGGCGCUGUCUCCAGCAGAGGCUCAGUGAAAUCGAAAUCGCUGUGAAGAUGCAGUGUACCCGCGGCUAGACGGAAAGACCCCGUGAACCUUUACUGCAGCUUGACACUGAACUUUGACCUUACUUGUGUAGGAUAGGUGGGAGGCUUUGAAGUUGGAACGCUAGUUCCAAUGGAGCCGUCCUUGAAAUACCACCCUGGUAAUGUUGAGGUUCUAACUCUGUCCCGUUAUCCGGGACGAGGACCGUGUCUGGUGGGUAGUUUGACUGGGGCGGUCUCCUCCUAAAGAGUAACGGAGGAGUACGAAGGUGCGCUCAGCGUGGUCGGAAAUCACGCGUAGAGUAUAAAGGCAAAAGCGCGCUUAACUGCGAGACCCACAAGUCGAGCAGGUACGAAAGUAGGUCUUAGUGAUCCGGUGGUUCUGUAUGGAAGGGCCAUCGCUCAACGGAUAAAAGGUACUCUGGGGAUAACAGGCUGAUACCGCCCAAGAGUUCAUAUCGACGGCGGUGUUUGGCACCUCGAUGUCGGCUCAUCUCAUCCUGGGGCUGAAGCAGGUCCCAAGGGUAUGGCUGUUCGCCAUUUAAAGAGGUACGCGAGCUGGGUUUAGAACGUCGUGAGACAGUUCGGUCCCUAUCUACCGUGGGCGCUGGAAAUUUGAGAGGAUCUGCUCCUAGUACGAGAGGACCAGAGUGGACGAACCUCUGGUGUACCGGUUGUGACGCCAGUCGCAUCGCCGGGUAGCUAUGUUCGGAAGGGAUAACCGCUGAAAGCAUCUAAGCGGGAAGCCUACCUCAAGAUAAGAUUUCCCUAGGAAUUUAUUCCUCUAAAGAGCCGUUCGAGACUAGGACGUUGAUAGGUUGGAUGUGGAAGCAUAGUGAUAUGUGAAGCUGACCAAUACUAAUUGCUCGUGAGGCUUGACUAUACAACACCCAAGCAGUUG
This 1196-nucleotide ribosomal RNA is filed under the name Acinetobacter pittii. Its description in RNAcentral is "bacterial LSU rRNA". It matches the Rfam family "Bacterial large subunit ribosomal RNA", at positions 1745 to 2925 of the family's 2925-position model. The record is from RNAcentral. Lineage: Bacteria; Pseudomonadati; Pseudomonadota; Gammaproteobacteria; Moraxellales; Moraxellaceae.